RNAcentral lists this long non-coding RNA (13222 nucleotides) under Eucalyptus grandis. RNAcentral's name for it is "long non-coding RNA (EGRA_LNC002488)". The record is from RNAcentral. Lineage: Eukaryota; Viridiplantae; Streptophyta; Magnoliopsida; Myrtales; Myrtaceae.
GUCUUGCUCGUUAUUAUAAGAAGACCAAGAAGCUACCACCUGUUUGGAAAUAGUAAUGUUCUUUCCUCUCAUUUCUCCAAGCGCCGUUUGCUAUAUGAGUGCUUACUCCUUUUAUGAUGCAUUGGUUCUUUGAAACAAAUAUCUGAAUUAGAGCGUCCAUGGCUCAGCCACCUGAGAAUAUAGUUAUUCCAAGAGAAGUUUAUCCCAAAAGUAACAGGCUGAGACUGUGUGAAUGUUGCUUACGUCCCAUGUUGAGAAUUUAAGGAAAACAGAAUCCAUAUUACUUAAGUUCCAGGAUGCUUAUUUAGUGGUACCCUAUUGGGUGGAGGAACUAGAUUGAAUCGCCCUUUUCUAUUCUAUCUUUCCCGAGAGAUGGUUGGGUCUCAACUGAUGUCUAUUUCUUUCAUGAGAAUCUUUCUCAUUAUUGAUUUUGUAUGCUAUUUUUGUUUAUUGCUUGAUGAAAUGUAGAUGAACAAACUAGUUUCUGGCUUUUUCUGCUUACUGCUGUGUUGUGUGGUGAGGGGAAAGACAUGUUCCUAUAUAAGAUGUUUCAUAUUGGUUAUGGUAUCCUCGUCUAUGAACAUGUCGAUGUGUUCUGCAUUCUCCUUUUUCAGAAGUAUCUGUGUCUGAUUCCUGAUGUUCCACUAUGUUAGAAAGUAGUUCUUUUCUUUUUCUCUUUUUUUUUAAUUUCUUGUUUGUUUGGUUAGAGAAGUUCUUUUCUUCACAAUUAAUUGAUUUUCUUGGUGCAUGUUCAAAAAGACCUCCCAGAAUGGGUUCUUUUCAUUUUGGAAAACAUGGAGAAAUAUUUUACUGUUUAAACUACAGAAUAUUUUUCCUCGAGAGGGAGGACUGGACUUUCUUGUCCAGCAGCAAUUGUACAGACAAUGAAAUUAAUUUGAUGCUUGUCGAAGCAUUGAAAGCAAAUUAUGUUUUAUAAUUUGGUAAGAGGAUGAAUAUUUGCAGAGCUGCCGAUGGGGAUAAAUCAUGCUGGGGCUUAUUGAGAAUGUUAGAGUAAAGCGUCAAUUAGACAUAUGUUUAUUCUUUCUUCUGGAUUAGAAUGUUAUCAGUUACGACAGGACAGUUUACGUUUCUCUUCUUCUUUGGAAAUUGCCUGAUACUUUUUCCUCUGUGGCCGUGUUGUGAUGGCUAGUUACAUAAGCGAAUGAAUCAUGUUGCAAAAAGUGAGCGGCAAUAUUUAUUGUAGUCAUUUUAUCACCUCCUUCAUUACUGCGUACUCAAGUCGAACGACUCUCUUUCUUUUUGCAGUGAAUCUACAACGGCGAGCACUCUUGUGGCAUAAACACUCGAUGGCAGUUUCCAAGGGACGCCGCAUUCUUCACUUUCUUACAUUUGCCGCUUAAGUUACUGGACAGAACAUAUAGUUUUGGACCGUCAGUACUUUAGUUUUGGGGCUGUUUGAGAAAUUGGAUUGUAGGUCUUUUUCCUCCAUCUCUCUAUUUUCUUCUGUUCUCGGUGUCUCGCCAUGAUAAGUUGCGAAGUUCUUUAAUGUUCUAGCAUCGUUGGGACUCUAAGUCAAGCCAGGAAGCUUCUGCCAAAACAAUUCACUUAAUGGGUAAUAGAACACGAAAACACAAGUUUUGAGUAAUGCUACUUUUUAUUUGAUGACUUCAUGUGACCUCUUAACCAUAUAGAAAUAUCAAAUUGUUUACAGUACACAUUUUCUAUUUGUCAAAAAUCUUUAUAGAAAUAUCAUAUUGUUUACAGUACAGAGUCUCUUGACAAUGCUUUACCAAAAUCAACCAUAAAGCAUGAUGUUAUGCGUACAAUUAAUCAUUAAGCCGCAUGCUGCGUAGAAUAUUAAAUUGGAAAAAAAAUUAAAUGAAUACAUAGUCUUUUUAGUAGAAAUAAUUAGAGGUAGGUCAAUAGACCAAGACAUUCACCAAUUGCACUGGAGCAAUUGCAUGUGACAUUUUAUAAAAUCUGGUUUAUGUGAUCUUAGAAUUUCAACAAAAAGUUCAAAGGACAUAUGCUCUUAAAUUGAAAAAAAUUAGAGGUGGAAUUGUAGAACUAGCACAGUUCAAGUACCAUAUGUGAUCUGAUACGCAGCUACUGAUGUUGAAAUAUAAGGACGUGUUUGGUAGCGAUUAUGUUUCUGGAAACAAAUUCUGAUCAGAAAUGAUUCUUUUUUAUUUUGUUCUUAAAACAAUUUCUAAGCAUUUUAAAUCAUUUGGUAGCUGUCCAAAAUUUCUAAUUUUAGAAUACAAUUACGUUUUGUACCGUACUAAUUGAUUCUGUUCCAAAUCAAUUUCUUUUAACUUUUAAAUAAUUUUUUUUCCUUUUUUUCUUAUCUUUUUUCCUUUCUUUCUCCUGUUCUUCUUCUUCUAGUGGCCGGACGCCAGUCCGGCGACUAGCCAGAUGAGGGCCGGCGACCUCAUCAGAGCCUCAUCGACCCUCGGCGAGGCCGGCCCUUGUUGGCCAAGCCUUACCAACAGCUAGACAAGGCUUGCCCAGCCCUGCCAAAUCUGGCAAGGUCAAGCCUCACCAGUGGUUAGGCUUGCCUCCGGCAAGCUCAUCGGACCUCGCCCUGAUUUGGUGAGCCUCUAGCGAGCUCACCGGAUCGGCUGCCGGCAACGAACGGCAGCGGACGGCAACCACAGGAUGGCGGUAGAUGAAGAAGAAGAAGAGAAAAUGGUAGAAGAAAAGAAAUAUGAUUUUGAUUCUUAAAUUUGUUCCCGAAACAAGAAUUAACUUUUUAUUUAUUCUUGAUUUUGUUUCAAAUCUAAUUCCGAGAACAAAAAAAUAGAAAUUUGUUCCAAAAACAAAAGUUUUACCAAACACGAUUCUGUUCCCAAAUUACUCCCGGGAACAAAAAAUCAUAAUCAUGCACUGUUUGGAUGGUUACCAAACAGGCCAUAAGCAACACAUGGAAGUAACAAGGGAAAGAAGAAGUCUCCUUCUUUCAAGAUAGAUAAGCAUGGACGGGAAAGAAGAAGUCUCCUUCUUUCAAGAUAGAUAAGCAUGGACAGAAACAAGUUCGAUCGUGCAACUUGUUGGAUAGUGGAAUAAUCUUAACUAUUAGUCGAAGUAGAAAGAAAGAAUAGAUAAAUAGAAGUUUAAAAUCAUAGAAUUAAGAUAAAAAGCUUGCAGAAGAUAUGUGCCUAAAUAAUAUAGCCCUAGUUCCCUAAAAAAAUUCCAGAUUUUAGUUCUAGUCCCAAAUCUACUUGAAACUUUUUCUUGUCUUAAAAAUCAUGAACUUUCACUAUAAUCCAAAACCCGAACUCGUUAACCUUCCACGAAACAUCAACCUUUAGUCUUCCAACAUGGCAAUUCUACGGCGGCACUAAAUCCACAUAAGAAGCUAACAUGGAAAAACUAAACUUCAACAUUUCUUAUUUUGAAGAUUGAUGGGAAGUCGGAAGCAAUUAAGGCUUACUUCUUCGCUUCUUCGAUUGGCCCCCAACGAGAGAGAACACGCUCGGUUGUUAUCUCCAUAAAAGAUUUUCUCCUAACAACACGAAGUUGAAGCCAGCGAGCUUAUCGUCCUCCAUGCAUUAACCCCUUUCCAUGCGUUUAUCUCUUGACUCAUUUCACUCUAAGGAAUUGAUCGUGGACAGGAGGGAUUCCUCCUUGUAUUGACUAAUAGUGGACUCCAAAGCGUUCGGUGUCUUCCUAAAAAGCCUCGCGCUCAAUCACUCAAAGAAGAGGAUGGCAAAAACUACGAACAACCCUCAUAACAACCGGAUUUUUUUUUUUUUUUUGGGUUCUUUUUUAGUUCUUUUUUCCCCUUAAAUAUAUCUUUCAUCAUUUCUAAUGAAAUACUCAUGCAUUUAUCUGUGUUGUUUAGUUUUUCCUAUUCUUGUUACGUGUAUUAUUCUAGGUAGAAGCUACAUUUUGGGGCUUGCUAUUGUUAUUUCCCUGUAUUGUCUAUUAGUCAGCACUUGUUUCUCUUAUAUAUCCAUAAAUGGGAUUUGUAGUUUCCUCGUGAUCUUCGCCGUCACUUCACACAUUGGAAAUGACAAAAGAUGUGCUCAAAGUCUUCAGGUUCUUGAACAGAAUUCAACCUCACAAGAAUGUUGGUUGAUUGUUGUGGUAGUCAAUUUCUUAGGAUGUAAAUUGCGUUGUUUAUGGUUCGCUUCAGUUAGUGUGAUUUGGUCGACAUUGAACUUGUAGGUUGAUCGUUGUUUCACUGAUUGAAAAUUGGAGUAUUAUUGGGUUAAAUCAAAAGCAAUUGUGAGUUCAUUCAAUUGUUGACUCCUCAUGUGACAUCUUGAAUUUUGACACUUGACGAUAGUAUUUAGCUUGAUUUUCCAUGACCAUUAUAUUUAUAUUAGUUGUAGAAAGGGAUUGAUAUGCUUUGAGAUUCAUAUUUUAUGAUAGUCAAGUUUCAAAUUUAUUGAAUUCAGAUUUUCCUAAUUUUGAUAUCUUACAUUUGUAAUUUUAAUAAAUUCAAAAUAUUUUCAAACUCACCAAUGUUCAAUAUGAAUAUUGAUUUCCCUAAAUCUCUAUUUCUCUACAAUUGGCACGCCAUUUCUCUUUUCUCUACCAAAAUUUUUAAGCCUAUGCUUUGGUUUGACAUUUAUUUUGGUUGGCUUUUACAUCAUCCAUGACAUCGUCAAUUUUAACUAUAGUUCAUAAAUGCUUUAGCUAACUUAUGCCUAUAGUUCAUUAAUGCUUUAGGCGACUCAUGCCUAAAGUUUCUUACAAUUGGCCAAAGAAGAGGAGUUCAUCUUCAUCUCUAUCAAAAUAUUUUUCUUGUGGCAAAAUUUCAUAGGAUCAUUUGUAUCAUAGUUAGCCCAUAGAGACCACUUGAAACAUUUCUAUCAAAAUGCAUACCCUUUCUACCUUUAGAUCUCAUGAUUUUGAUCCAGAGUCAUUUUACUUGGUUCAUUAUGUUGAGAAUGUUGAAAAAGAAGUAGGUUCGGAAGGUGGAAAUAUCCUUGCACAAAUUGAAGGCACAGAGGCAAAGGGAGUUGGUGAAAAAACUCCUCUUCAGGCACAAGAUGUAGCACCAACCUUUAGUAUCACUCUCCACUAGACGCCGAAGACAUUUACGCCUUUCACUUUCCUAAGGACUUAAUAGGCAACAAGGGGAAGCAAGCCGAAGUUCAGGGGGAGGAACAAACUUCUAAGGUAUAGACUAAUCUUCCUUCAAGUGUGGAUAUCCCUCUAGUAUUAUUUGUUGAUGCUGGUGCCCAUAUUGAACAAAAUCCAAACCACUCAAAGAUAGUUGAACUUCUUUAGGAGAUAAAGGUACAUUAGUUUGGGAUGAAGGUUGAGAUUCAACAAAUGUGCAAUUCUCUUCAUGCCAAGAUUAAGAAGGCCUUUGGACAACGCAUGGCUAGAAUUGAGGAGAAUGUACAAAAACACUUGGAAGACUUUUAGCUUGUUCAAGUUCUAAAAAAUCCUUGAAUUUUCAAAAUCUCUCUAUUUUUAAACUUUUUGGUUUUUUUUUUUUACUUGAUAGUUUUAUCUACAGUUUUGUGUGACCCCUCUUGAUGUUGACAAAAAGGGGGAGACAUAUGCAGAUUUAAGAGUUUUUUUUAUUUGUGGCUAAUGUGUUUGCAAGAUUAUGGUUUUUUAGACUAUUAUUAAUAUUAAGUCUAACAUUUGCAUAUUUUGUUUGCCCAUUGUGGUUGCAUAUUCACUAGUUCAUAAAUUUCCAAUAGUUAUACUGUUUAAGUAUUGUUUUUUAGGUUUUUAUUUAAAUUUGUAUGAAAUUUUUGUCAUCAUAAAAAAAGGGAGAGAAUGUUGAAAAAAGCCUCUUACUAAGUUUUGAAGUUGACAAAACUUUUUAUUUUUAUCGUCUUUGCUUCUGAGGAACUUUCAAAGACUCUUAACAAUACUUUUUCAAAUAUAUAUCCCACUCUGAUAAGUCCAGAACGAGAUAAUGUUCAGAACAAAGAAGAGUCCAUAAUCAGACUCGACACAAAUCCAUAAUAAAUUUUGUUUGAAAAGAAUUCUUCAACGACUAUCUUCUGGCCAAAGAUUUCACUUACCUUAUUAAAAAAAAAAAAAAACGUUGAUUGAGUCAAUUAUAUAUUGACAAAAUAAAUCUCGAAGAUAAAUUCCAUAUGAAGUAUUACUUAUGGAAACCAAGAUUAUGAUUGAAUAGACAACCAAAAUCAAGUGGAAUUUCCAUUCUUGUCUUCAACAGCCACAAGAUCUCCUUGAAAGAUUCUGUCCAACAACUUGAUUAGAAGAAUUUCCUCUAGAGAAUGUCAACGGCUAAUGUUGCAUGGAGGAGUAUCUAAAGGAAGGUCAUUUGGUCAAGUUGAUAUGAACGUGAAAUUAGAAUUCCAACAUUUGAAGCUUCUCUCAAUCAUCUGUCUUCGUCUUCAUCUGUGAGCAUUACAAAUUUGUAUGCAAUUUUCUCUUCCCUCAACUAUGUUUAUUUUAAAUAUGUUGCACACUUUCUAGUUAAGAAGUCCAGUGUUCCUCGAAAUUGAUUAUAUUAUUCAUUUAGACUUUGCUUGCAUCUUAUUUUAUUUCAAGUUUAUUUGUUAAGAUUUCUUUUAAAAACAUAUUCAUCCCUCCCUUUAGGUGUGAGAUCUAACUACAUCACAUUCCCCUUGGCCUUAUCAUUGGAUAUAGUCAUAUAAUCAUGCCACUUGUAAUUUUUAACUCGACCACCUCUCUUGCACUUCCACCUAACAUUUUCUUUUAAGUCAUCAUUUCUCUUAACUUGAGUUACUUGUUCUUACCUCUCUUGGCCUAUAUAUAGGUCUCCAUAUAUCUUUAGGUCCCCCUAGGGUCGGUUCCCAGUUCCAUGAGCAGAUCUGUCCAUCCGGACCGAACCAAUUAUAUUAUAAUAAUAUAUUGAUUUUUAAUAUUAAAAUAAAUUUCAAAAUUACUAAUUAACAAAUUUAAAUUUUAGGGCUCCGUCUCCUCUCAUGAUUUCCAUGUUUUAAUAAGAAUUUAGUAAAGUGUGUAAGCUGCCUUUUGAGAAUGCUAGUAUGAACACCUAGAGAGGGGUGAAUAGGUGUUUAAAAUAAAUCUUGGCAAAUAUAUGCGGAAUAAACUUCAAACAAAGAAGUUAAGGAAGAGAAUAAGAACACAAGGUUUAUAGUGGUUCGGCUUAAUCCAAGCCUACGUCCACUCUCCCACGCUAACAGCCUUCUUAGCUGGAUUCCACUAUGCAAUCAACAAGAGAUUACAACUUCGAGUGCAAACACUUAGUAGUAGAUCACACUAUCUCACUAAGUCACUCUUUUGGUAUUUCUCUCACGAUCACAAACGUUUAAGCUCUCCAAAGACAAGUGUAUGAACAAAGAUCGCUCGAACUUUGAAAUUAUAACUCCAAAGACAAGUGUAUGAACAAAGAUCGCUCGAACUUUGAAAUUAUAAAUUCUACGCUUCGUCUCUUACUUGCUCAUCGAUCCUUCAUCUCCUUAAAUACUUCUCCACUUCCAAACUACCUGUUGGACAGUAUCUUGAGGAUCGUCUUCCAAUAUACCAAUUGGACAGCUCUGUAUCUAGAAGAUUUGGUAGCCGUUGAGUGACAAAGGUAAAAUCCCAAAUUGAUUCCGAUCGCCCAUAUAGAAAGUUCUUGUCUUCAAAAUCCAAUUAUCAAUCAAUUAGAUUGAAUCAAUCAAAUCAAUCUUGAUGUGGAAUCCAAACCAAUUCAAUAGCCGUUAUAUGAUUGGGCUUGAGUUACGUUCUGUCGAAUCUGGAUGUAAAGUCUGAGAGCAAUAGACUUUACAAUCUGAGUCUAAGUGCGAUAGAAUUUGCAAUCUGAGUCUGAACAUAUUCUGCUUCUAAACAUAUUUAGCUUUAAGGUCCAUAUCCAGUUCAGCUUUAACAUAGAGUCUGUCUUUUAGUUCAGCUUCAGCACAAAGUCUGUCUUCUGAUUCAGCUUCAGCAUAGAGUCUGUCUUCUGGUUCAUCAUUCACGUUCAAUCUGAAAUUUGUCAGAGUUGACAAACUUCUGAUGUAGAACAGACUUUAACACUAAAGUCUGGCAGUCUUCAAACUUUAACACAGAAGUCUGGAAAUCUUCAUAAUAUACUUUGGACAUGUGUUACGUUCAGUCUUUUGGCAGUCUUCUAACUUUGACAAUAUCCUUUACAUGUUCUAUCAUCUGUAUGGUCUAUUACUUAACCAUUAAACAUAUUAGUAGCCUUUGAUUUAUUUUGACAUCAUAAGGGAUUUCCCUAACACCUUUCAACAACUCAACAAAUGGCUCAUUCAAAUAAUACUUUUGGGACUCACAUAUGACACUAUGUUCAAGAAUAUGUUGAGUACCGGUAGAAUUGUUUCUACAAAAAAAAUUCAGUAAAGCAAAUGUUGUAAGAGAUUAAGCAUUGUUAGAGGAUAAAAGAAAAGAUGAUCUACAUAUGACAAUCAUCCAAAAUCUUGAACUUAAAAAAUAUUUUAGAUUUCAACUAAAAUUAUUCAAAAAUAGGAAAAAAAAACUUAUUUCUCUUCUUUGGUAGUAUUUUCCAAUAAAAUAAAGAAAAAUGGUACCCUUAAUUAAGCCGGUUCGAUUUUAAAAAAAAAAACUAUUACUCGAUAUGAAAAGUACUCAAGGCGGGAUUUGAAAAACGAUAUUAUUAUUAGUGAGACCAGUUCCAUGGAUCCACCCGGGAACUGGACCAGACCAACAGUUUGGUUCUUGGGUGAUCCAUGCAACAACAGGUGGUUCCCGGUUCCAAUUUUUUGGAACCGAUCCUUAGUAGGUGGUUCUCGGUUCUAGGUCGGGAACCGCCCACCCAAACCAUGCAGACCCCAGUUCCAUGAGCGGAUCUGUCCAUCCGGACCGAACCAAUUAUAUUAUAAUAAUAUAUUGAUUUUUAAUAUUAAAAUAAAUUUCAAAAUUACUAAUUAACAAAUUUAAAUUUUAGGGCUCCGUCUCCUCUCAUGAUUUCCAUGUUUUAAUAAGAAUUUAGUAAAGUGUGUAAGCUGCCUUUUGAGAGUGCUAGUAUGAACACCUAGAGAGGGGUGAAUAAGUGUUUAAAAUAAAUCUUGGCAAAUAUAUGCGGAAUAAACUUCAAACAAAUAAGUUAAGGAAGAGAAUAAGAACACAAGGUUUAUAGUGGUUCGGCUUAAUCCAAGCCUACGUCCACUCUCCCACGCUAACAGCCUUCUUAGCUGGAUUCCACUAUGCAAUCAACAAGAGAUUACAACUUCGAGUGCAAACACUUAGUAGUAGAUCACACUAUCUCACUAAGUCACUCUUUUGGUAUUUCUCUCACGAUCACAAACGUUUAAGCUCUCCAAAGACAAGUGUAUGAACAAAGAUCGCUCGAACUUUGAAAUUAUAAAUUCUACGCUUCGUCUCUUACUUGCUCAUCGAUCCUUCAUCUCCUUAAAUACUUCUCCACUUCCAAACUACCUGUUGGAUAGUAUCUUGAGGAUCGUCUUCCAAUAUACCAAUUGGACAGCUCUAUAUCUAGAAGAUUUGGUAGCCGUUGAGUGACAAAGGUAAAAUCCCAAAUUGAUUCCGAUCGCCCAUACAAACGAAAUCUUGGUUUCCAUAAGUUAAGCUUCUUCGUAUAGAAAGUUCUUGUCUUCAAAAUCCAAUUGUCAAUCAAUUAGAUUGAAUCAAUCAAAUCAAUCUUGAUGUGGAAUCCAAACCAAAUCACUAGCCGUUAUAUGAUUAGGCUUGAGUUACGUUCUGUCGAAUCUGGAUGUAAAGUUUGAGAGCAAUAGACUUUACAAUCUGAGUCUGAGUGCGAUAGACUUUGCAAUCUGAGUCUGAACAUAUUCUGCUUUUGAACAGAUUUAGCUUUAAGGUCUGUACCCAGUUCAGCUUUAGCAUAGAGACUGUCUUCUGGUUCAACUUCAGCAUAGAGUCUAUCUUCUGGUUUAACUUCAGCAUAGAGUCUGUCUUCUGGUUCAUCAUUCACGUUCAAUCUGAAAUUUGUCAGAGUUGAUAGACUUCUGAUGUAGAACAGACUUUAACACUAAAGUCUGGCAGUCUUCAAACUUUAACACAGAAGUUUGGAAAUCUUCAUAAUAUACUUUGGACAUGUGUUACGUUCAGUCUUUUGGCAGUCUUCUAACUUUGACAAUAUCCUUUACAUGUUCUAUCAUCUGCAUGGUCUAUUACUUAACCAUUAAACAUGUUAGUAGCCUUUGAUUUAUUUUGACAUCAUAAGGGAUUUCCCUAACACCUUUCAACAACUCAACAAAUGGCUCAUUCAAAUAAUACUUUUGGGACUCACAUAUGACACUAUGUUCAAGAAUAUGUUGAGUACCGGUAGAAUUGUUUCUACAAAAAAAAUUCAGUAAAGCAAAUGUUGUAAGAGAUUAAGCAUUGUUAGAGGAUAAAAGAAAAGAUGAUCUACAUAUGACAAUCAUCCAAAAUCUUGAACUUAAAGAAUAUUUUAGAUUUCAACUAAAAUUAUUCAAAAAANNNNNNNNNNNNNNNNNNNNNNNNNNNNNNNNNNNNNNNNNNNNNNNNNNNNNNNNNNNNNNNNNNNNNNNNNNNNNNNNNNNNNNNNNNNNNNNNNNNNUGAUUAAAGUUUUGAUUUUACUUAAACCUCCAGUUAAAGAUAAGUGAAAACUUUAAGCGCUAAGUUGGGUUGAUCCACUCCAAUACUUUGACUUGGUUGGUGAUUACUAAUUAGUUUAAAUUACCCCCAAAAAAUGACAUGUUAACUAAAGAGAUAAAAAAAAAAAAUGAAAGAUACAAAUUAUUUACCAUGUUGACUUUUAUGUAAAAUUAACUAAUGUACAGAUGUGUACGAUGUGAGUCAUCGGAACCUUUGGCUCAUCUAAUCUCUCUUUCUCUUCGUGAGGACGCGAAGCACGACACCGUUCAAAUGAUCAUGGCAUGGUUGUCGGCCCAUCAUGGUCAAAUUAGGUAAAAGUGCUAAUUUGCUAGAAUAAUACUUAGCCUACGAUAUCUAAGGAAAAAAUUAAGAUGCAAAGCCAUGCUUUUGAAAAUAAAGGAUGUAAAAAAAAGUAGUAUCAUGGGUGAAGACUUAAGGCAUACAAUUUAAUAUUUUCCUUCUUUAUUAAUAUUAAUACCAACGAUCGAUCUAUUUAUUGUUUUGUUUUUGUUUCGCAAUAAGCAACACACAUUAUUUAUGAAAGAUUGUUACUAUUUGAAAUUGACCGCAUACUUUUAGAAACAAAACUUCAGUAGAAAAGGAAAAUAUUAAAGAGUGCUCUAGAGGCAAUUUUUUAAAUAGAAUUCAAAGUUUACUAAAUGAAGUAAGAGACUUUGUUAAAAUGUGGAAUUCUUUCAAUUUCAGAAUAUCUUUGAAAAGUGCGAUUUUCAUUUUUAGCGAUUGCUGGCCCAAUGGGCUCUCUUUUCGUACCGAGCUGAAAGGAACACCACCAGCCGCAUACAAAAUAGCCCACUCCGAUCAUCGUCAUCCUCCCCCCUCGGAUUGGAAACCCUAGCACCGAUCCUCAACCUCGGCUUCCCAGAGGGUAAGCUAGACCGCCCGCCGACGCCGACCGAAGAAGCAGAGGCAGCUCCGCUCUCCGUUCGUCCGCCGCCAUGGGUCGCAUGCACAGCCGAGGGUACACCGCGAAAACCCAUCAACUUCUUGCCGUCGUUGUCCCGACCGGUUGCGAGUUUUGCUGACUCUGUUUUUGUUUCUGGUUGUCUCUCCUUUGUGGGUUUUCUUGAUACUUGGCAGUAAGGGUAUUUCAGCUUCUGCUCUGCCCUACAAGAGGACUCCUCCGAGCUGGCUCAAGAUUUCUUCUCAGGAUGUAAGAACAUUUUUUACUGCGUUAGUUUGUUUUUGUGGGAUAAUGGGUAGUUUGUAGCUGUCGCCUCCCUCUCAGGAUCUGGUGUAAAGAUGUGGGAAGCUCAACUCUGAUGUUGUUAUGAUAUUCGUUUCGGUAGUUUGUACCCAAUUUGGUCGGAGCAAAGAGGGCCUAUACCCAUGCAUGACAUCCUAUCCGAAACCGAGUAAUGUAGUCACUCUCAUCUAGUAGAACGGUGCUUGUAAUUGUUUACCCGACUAUCGGUGGGAGGAAACCGUGGAUGCUGUUUGACUUUCUCUUUCUGGGCUUAUCUGCCUAAUUGCGUCGUGUUGGAUUCUGUGCAAUUUGGUGCCUUUUGUUAUGUUUAUAAUUUCUGUGGACUCUUUGAUUAGAUAAAGCGUGCAUUUGGAUAGUGGGAUUCCAAUAGAAAGGGCAUUAACAUGCUGGUACUCUUCCAUGCGCAAUGUUGCGGCGGUUUGCAUUUGAGCAUGAUCUGAUUCAGAUAGUUAUCUGUUACUAUUAAGUAAUGGCUCUGUUUCGAGUCUGAUGUUUGAGCAUGAUCUGAUUUUUGAUGGCUCGUUGCUGCACGAGUUAUAGAGCCUCAAUAAUAGAGCACUUAAAGCUGAUAGUCGCAAUUAUGUUUCUUGAAAUUUUAGGUUGAGGAGAACAUUUGCAAAUUUGCCAAGAAGGGUCUGACUCCAUCACAAAUUGGUGUCAUCCUUAGGGAUUCUCAUGGUAUUGCUCAGGUCAAGAGUGUUACUGGGAGCAAGAUCCUGCGUAUACUGAAGGCCCAUGGUGAGAGCUUUUACCACUCCUUACAGUUUCUUUCUUUACGUCCUUCUAUCUCUUUCUCUCUCUCCAACACACCCCCCCCCCCCCCCCCCCCCCCCCGGGUCUUUUCUCUCUCUCUCUCUCUCUCCUUCUUCUGAACCACAAGCGAGGUGAUGUGAUGCUUUGCUUUCUCUUUCUGAAUGUUACCUAUUAUUUGGGUCAGGGCUGGCUCCUGAAAUACCUGAGGAUUUGUACCACCUUAUCAAGAAAGCAGUUUCCAUUCGGAAGCACUUGGAGAGGAACCGAAAGGAUAAAGAUUCCAAGUUUAGACUCAUCCUGGUUGAGAGCAGGAUCCACCGCCUUGCUCGUUACUAUAAGAAGACCAAGAAGCUACCACCCGUUUGGAAAUAGUAAUGUUCUUUCCUUUCACUUCUCCAAGUGUUGUUUGCUAUAUGAGUGCUUACUCCUUUUAUGAUGCAUUGGUUCUUUGAAACAAAUAUCUGAAUUAGAGCGUCCAUGGCUCAGCCACCUGAGAAUAUAGUUAUUCACAAAAGUAACAGGCUGAGACUGAAUGAAUGUUGCUUAUGUCCCAUGUUGACAUUUUAAGGAAAAUGGAAUCCAUGUUACUUUAGUUCCAGCAUGCUUAUUUAGUGGUAGCCUAUUGGGUGGAGGAACUAGAUUCAAUCAUCCUUUUCUAUUCAAUUUUUCCUUAAAGAAGGUUGGGUCGCAACUAAUGUCUGUCUCUUUCAUGCGGAUCAUUCUCAGUAUUGAUUUUGUAUGCUAUUUUUGUUUAUUGCUUAGUGAUAUGUAGAUGAAAAAAAACGUGUUUC